AAGCCGAAAGUUGACGAAACUGUUGUCAGAAACGCGGCUGUUGAAGCAGCAAAACUGUGGUUGGAAAGGAAUUCUCGUCCAUGGAGUACAGUAUUGGACAAGUGGAUUGAGUCUUUCGAAGACAGAAAACCCAGACUCUUGAAUUCUAACAACGUUGAUGAAAUUCUCGCGAAACAGCGUCAUUACUCAGACGAGCAUGGAUAUCAGAUCCGACUCGGAAGUACACCUUGGUUUCCAAUAAAGUUGAAAUUGAUUUCAAAUUGCUGAAAUUAGGCGAAGACAAUUGUAUUAACAAAUGGAACCACUUGUUGCCAAAGAUUAUCCGGUAUCUCGACCAACCCUUCAAAGACGACGUAUCAGUGACGCUACUGAAUUUAAUAAAAUCGCCAGAUACGAACAAAGAUUCUACAAUAUCGGCUGUGCUCAUCCUACUGAAUAACGUUUUAAAACCAACUAAAGUAACUAAAACCUACAAGCCGUCGAUAUUAUCAGCGCAG
Armigeres subalbatus is the source of this 497-nucleotide long non-coding RNA. RefSeq lists it as uncharacterized. The record is from RefSeq and is a predicted model, not a curated record. The transcript has 4 exons. NCBI's taxonomy places the organism in Eukaryota, Metazoa, Arthropoda, Insecta, Diptera, Culicidae.